AACGUAGGAGACGAACGUUAUCCGGAGUUACUGGGCGUAAAGGGCGUGCAGGCGGCUUGAUAAGUUCGGCGUGAAAUUUCCCGGCUUAACCGGGGGAUGUCGUCGGAGACUGUCGAGCUAGAGGGUGAUAGAGGCGUGUGGAAUUCCGGGUGUAGUGGUGAAAUGCGUAGAGAUCCGGAGGAACACCAGUGGCGAAGGCGGCAUCCUGGACCAACACUGACACUGAGGAGCGAAAGCCAGGGGAGCAAACGGG
RNAcentral lists this ribosomal RNA (253 nucleotides) under uncultured bacterium. RNAcentral describes it as "partial 16S ribosomal RNA". It matches the Rfam family "Bacterial small subunit ribosomal RNA", at positions 524 to 776 of the family's 1533-position model. The record is from RNAcentral.